RNAcentral lists this ribosomal RNA (253 nucleotides) under uncultured bacterium. RNAcentral describes it as "partial 16S ribosomal RNA". It matches the Rfam family "Bacterial small subunit ribosomal RNA", at positions 524 to 776 of the family's 1533-position model. The record is from RNAcentral.
UACAGAGGCCACGAGCGUUAGGCGGAAUCACUGGGCUUAAAGCGUGUGUAGGUGGAUGGGUAAGUACCUUGUGAAAUCCCACGGCUCAACCGUGGAACUGCUCGGUAUACUGCCUGUCUUGAGGCACUCAGGGGCGAGCGGAACAAAUGGUGGAGCGGUGAAAUGCGUAGAUAUCAUUUGGAACGCCAAUGGUGAAAACAGGUAGCUGGGGAAGUGCUGACGCUGAGACACGAAAGCCAGGGGAGCGAACGGG